GUGAGGAAUAUUGCGCAAUGGAGGCAACUCUGACGCAGCCAUGCCGCGUGCAGGAAGAAGGCGCUACGCGUUGUAAACUGCUUUUAACCGGGAAGAAACCCCAGGACGUGUCCUGGGUUGACGGUACCGGAGGAAUAAGCACCGGCUAACUUCGUGCCAGCAGCCGCGGUAAUACGAAGGGUGCAAGCGUUAUCCGGAUUCAUUGGGUUUAAAGGGUGCGUAGGCGGAGCGUUAAGUCAGUGGUGAAAUCAUGCAGCUUAACUGUAGACUUGCCAUUGAGACUGGCGCUCUUGAGUGCGCUUGAAGUGGGCGGAAUGUGCCGUGUAGCGGUGAAAUGCUUAGAUAUGGCACAGAACACCGAUUGCGAAGGCAGCUUACUAUGGUAUGAUUGACGCUGAGGCACGAAAGCGUGGGGAUCGAACAGGAUUAGAUACCCUGGUAGUCC
RNAcentral lists this ribosomal RNA (445 nucleotides) under uncultured bacterium. RNAcentral's name for it is "partial 16S ribosomal RNA". It matches the Rfam family "Bacterial small subunit ribosomal RNA", at positions 354 to 796 of the family's 1533-position model. The record is from RNAcentral.